Long non-coding RNA from Pan troglodytes (chimpanzee), 2925 nucleotides. RefSeq lists it as uncharacterized. The transcript is spliced from 6 exons. The record is from RefSeq and is a predicted model, not a curated record. Lineage: Eukaryota; Metazoa; Chordata; Mammalia; Primates; Hominidae.
CCAGAGACCUUUUCCAGGACCAUGUCUUUGAAGCAUAUCUCAGCUCUUGUCUUCCGGAAGCGAUGGAGACAGAAUCCAGAAGCCUGAGACUCUCUCCUUUCCUGGCUUUGAUGAAGCAAGCUGCCACACUGGAGAGGCCUACAUGAUAAGGACCUGAAGGUGGCCUCCAGCUAGCUCCAGCCAACAGUUGGCAAGGAAUUGAGGACCUGAGUCCAAUAGACCUUGAGGAACUGAAUCCUGCCAACAGCUACACAAGUGAGCAUGGCAGUGUAUCCUUCCCCAGUAAAGUCUUCAGAUGAGACCCCAGCCCCAGCUGACACCUUGAUUGCAGCCUUGUGAGAGACUCUGAAGCAGAGAAACCAGCUAGGCCUUGCCUGGAUUCCUGAUCCACAAACUGCUUUUGUGAUGCCCUAUAAUUACAUGAACUCUACUAAAAAGAGGGAUACUGAAAAGAAGAAUAAUGUUGAGUCACCUUUGCAGAAGAAAAAACAACUUCCUCUCUUCCUCUACUUCACUCUGGCAAGUUCUCCAACCUGACAAGCCAGUAGGGAGUGCCAGAAUGUCAUGGCUGAGAAAAGAGAUGUUAACAGGCUGUAUGAUGUUGGCCACAGAGUGCCCCCCUAAAGAGGCCUCAGAAGAAUGAAGGGUAAGAAGCUCCUCCAUGAAAUCAGAUGGCACAAAAUUGGAGGAAAAAGAGUCCUCGGCAUGAGGCUGCCACCAGGAGAAUUCUGAAGAUGCAGGGCAUGAAUGGUCAAUGCCUUUGAUUGUUGGGGCAGAGGUGGAUGACCCACCAGAGCCACCUAGAGAUAACAUUUCCGGAAAAGUCUUCAAGAUGCUCUGCAAUUAAAGUUUCACUGGAGAGCAACCUGUGUUUUUAAUCUCACUGUCCAUGAAGGGCUAAUACGGGCAACAGGAGGUGAGAUGUCUGCUACACUCUUGGAAGUGACCUUGGAGAACUUUCCAGUCUGAGAAACCCCGUCUGCUUUCUCAUUUUACAAAUUGGAAACUGAGGCCAACACAGGGAACAUGACCUACGACGCUUUGGAUCUCCAUGGCAAGCAUUGACACUGGCAAAAAUUAUCUAAUAAACACUUAUAUUGAAUGAGUAAACGUUAGAGAGACAUGGAAGCAAGUAUGAAGGACCUCGCCAGGACUUUAGAUGGACUGAACUGAUCAUAAAAGAAACUUCAGUUCUUGGCCAGGCACAGUGGCUCACGCAUGUAAUCCCAGCACUUUGGGAGGCUGAGGUGGGUGGAUUACCUGAGGUCGAGAAUUCAAGACCAGCCUAGCCAACAUGGUAAAACUGUCUCUACUGAAAAUACAAAAAGUAGCCAGGUGUGGUGACACGUUCCUGUAAUCCCAGCUACUUGGGAGGCUGAGGCAGGAGAAUCACUUGAACCUGGGAGGCGGAGGUUGCAGUGAGCCAAGAUCCCACUACUGCACUCCAGCCUGGGUGACAGAGUGAGGCUCCAUCUCAAAAAGAAAAAAAAAGAAACUUCAGUUCCUGACAAAUUAUAGACUGGAGACAUAGAGAAAAGAUAAUGAUGUGGAUUCUUGAACAAGGGCACAAGACAAUGAAUUUGCUCAUAAACGUGGGCAGAUCUACCGAUUAGACCUGAGGAACAAUGCCUACUGUGUGCCCAGCACUGUGUAAGUUACUUUCAUAUGUACCAACAGACUAAGAAAACAGUAAGCUGUCAAAACUGACUGAGGUCUCCUUGAAUUCUCUCAGACUUGAUUGGCCCCAGAGCUGGGGAUGAGAUGAGCAAGCAUGGACUAUGAGGUUGGUUCAGAUGAAUUUUUGUGAACAAUCGUCUGUCGAUGAAAGGACUGCCUUUGAAGACAAUAUCCUUGGUGAUCUUAAGAGUAUGGUCCUCUGAAGCCAGUGUUCAACAAGAUGUAAAAAUGAGAAGAUUUCAUGCCAUGGAAUUUCUAUCAUAGAUAUGGUUUUUUGUAAUUUUAGCAGUUCCUCUCAACCUUUGCAGCAGUUUUGGAGCCGAGCAGAUGGCAGGGGAGGGCUUAACUAAGUGGUGAAGUUUCAGCUGCAAAAGGCAAUUCCUAGAAUGACAAUUCAGAAACUCAUUUCCCCCAACACUUAUCAUAUUGGCAGAGGGUUAGUGAAUCUUUUUAGAAAAACAAGAAGAAGGCAAUGCAUCAGAAUAAGGCAGCCUAUGUUUGGUUAGGUUAUGUGCAGGCAAACACUACUGAGUCCAAUUCUUUCCUUGCACUGCAAUUCCCAAGGCAACAGGCCAGUCUUGUUUGUAAAUUAAAUAAUAUCCAAAAUAGCUAAAGCUUAGGAUCUGAAAUAUAAGGCACCUCCAGCACAUGGAGCAACUGCUACAUGCAUCCGAAACCAGGGGAUGACAGUUUCAGCUAAGUUGUUCCAACCCUGGCUGGCAUUAAGGACCCCUAGAGUUUCCAGCUAUAUAUCAUAAGGAAACAGCAAGUUUGUAGAAAGAGCAUAAUCUGUGCUCAAAUCCUGCCUCUGAUACUAAAUAACUAUAUGAUCUUGAAAAAAUUACUUUUCCUCUCUGAGCCUCUUUCCACAAAUGGUGGUGGGGUGGGGGAGGGGAUAAUUGCAAUCUCAAAGGCUUAUUGUAAGAAUUCAGUGUGAUAAUAUACAUGAAAGUAAUGAGCAAACCACAAAUCUUAAACUGGUAUCCAUUUUUCUUCAUUUCUAUUCUGCCUAGCUCGGCAGAAGUUUGUCAAAAUAUCUGUUGCUCUUUCAAACUGCUUCAGCUUUGGCUCAUCCAUAAUUUUUUCUUUAUCUUCAAACAACUUUAAUUAUAAUGGUUUGCUUUUCUUAAAAUUUCAUAGCCCAUAUUCUUUGUGAAUGAGACAGUGAGGUUUGGCUUUUGGGACUUUAGUUUUGAUCCUUUACAAUAUGCAUAUAACAAAAACAAUAAAUGUAUUUUAUAUUCUGAA